RNAcentral lists this long non-coding RNA (1139 nucleotides) under Olea europaea subsp. europaea. Lineage: Eukaryota; Viridiplantae; Streptophyta; Magnoliopsida; Lamiales; Oleaceae. The record is from RNAcentral.
UUUAAAUUAAAUAAUCAAUAUUUACAUUUUCGAAUGGAACAAUAUAUAAUAUUUACGUACCAUUAUUGAUUUCAUACAAAUUGCAUGCUAAGUUCUUCCUCUAAUUUCAGGAUUGGUUGAUUCUAUCAUCCUUAUGUAUUAUACUCAAAAGUUCAAUAUACCUAAUUACGAACAACAGCAAUCGCCAAUUCAAUUAAAAACAACGUGUUAGUUCAAUAACUAAAAACUAAGUUUUCAAAUUAAAAAAUUUAUAAAUACUUACGAUUUCUAUCGUCUCAUCAUCGUCAUGUCCCACACGAUAACUAGUUUGUCACACAAAUCACUUCCGGGCAGAUAUGAUUUCAUUUCUAAGAUCUAAAAAACUAAUACUAUACUGGGCUCAAUCGACACAGAGACCGCAUGGUAAGCAAAUAAAAUAGGAGGAGAGGUUAGGAAUAUGGGUGUGGGAGGCUGUAGGACGACCACGAUGAGUAUGUAGGUCCAGGCUAUAUAGGAUCAAACGGUUACUUUUGUUUGAUUGAGGAGCGGAGAUAGAUAGAUAUGAGCUGACAACUUAUGUUUCUUGGUAUUUUGGGUAAGAUGUACACCAAAAGGAAUUGACGCCACAAACACUUUUAACCCAAUCAAAAGCGAGAGGAGAAGUUUGGGUCUGGUGAAGACGAACUCCCUACAUUAAAACAUUUGGCCUUGCUUGCUUAUUAUGUGGUAAUUGUCUAUCAAAUGAACGAUUAUAGGCACUGGCUCUAAUAUAUGCUCGACCUGACCCUGUGUCCAACAGGUAUGAUCAGAGUCGUACACGUAUAUAGUGGAAUCAAGAAAGACAAUCUCCACAGCAAAGCAGUGAUAAUUAGUGAUCACUAGAAUGUACAUAUGCAUUCGACUUGCCCCAUGAUUUUUUCCCGAUACUCGAUCUCAUCCUUGUGAUCCACCCGAGCAUAUAUUUAGGCAACCUGUACUCAUUCCCCAUAAGUUGAAGCGAUUGAUGCACAAUGUUAAUGGCAUGUAGGGACUCGAUGCUCAAAAUGACUCGGCCUGGAACGUCAAAUGAUCUUAGAUAUCUUCGAGCCUGAUUGCACAAUAGGUCCAAAGUCAGGUUGAUGUGCUACAACAUGAAACACCAAUAAAAAAGAGAGAGUUAU